GUCUCCAGAUGGCUGUGAUGUAAAGAACAUCCUGCGUGAAUUUCUUAGGAGUAAACAGUCCCUAUUGACUUCAAAGAGGAAUGCCUAUGAUUCUCGGAUUAUUGCAAUCAGAGCCCCCUCCUAAUGCCAACAUCAUCACCUUCCAUGGGGAAGACACACAGGAGUCCCCCUUCAGCUGCUGGGAGUUACAUAGGCAGGGCAUAGCAUUACAUAAACCCCCUUUUUGCACCAAUUUAUGGCAGAACUCAUGUAGAUGCAAACCACGGCACUCCAGUACAGCCCAGGCCAGCUUUCCCUGCAGAGCAUCCCUUUCCUCCUCCCAGCCAGAUUAUACUCCUGUUAUGUCGAACGUACGGUAUGCAAAGGGACAUCUACUACAAGUCCAAACUAUUACAAGAGAACAGACAGACUGAAGAAUGCAAAGCCGGGGGGGUGGGGAGGGGGGGGGGCGGGGCGGGAAGAGGGGAGCGGAGGGAGAAGUAUUAAAACCACCAACAGUCAGUCAAUACACAUGGAAACACUGCAUGCUGCCAAAGAACAUUUACCUGUAGGUAAAGCAUACAGUAGCGUCAGACUUCUAUUAAACAACAAAAAGAAGUUACCGUUUAUUGUCGUGGUUGUCAGUCCCUGUGGUCUGUCUGCGUUGUCUAAACCUGAAAAUAGACAGAAAAAAAAAGGGGAGGGGAGCAGAAAAAUAGCAAAGGAUCGUAAUUUAAACACUCUCAGUGUUUGGUUCUUGUUCGUGAAAAUAUAUAAGAGCAGGUAAACCUGUACGUGUUUGAAAGGUGCCGAGUAUAUUAACUUUUGACGUUAUUAAAUACAUCACUACAGCACUUGGCUCUAGGUUCAACGGGGAAAUAACUAGCUACAUUUGCUGCAGAUGAUCUAACGUGACACAAACCAGAUAUGAGUAAUAUACUCCGGUAUCUGCAGGGUUAAAUCGAUAUUUACAGGAAAUAAUGUGAAUAAUAUAAUUUUUUUUUUAAAUCGCACCAUUAUUUCUGGAGAACCAGGCUUGCAAAUAAAAGGUUAAGAAUAUUAUUAUUGUUUGGGGUUGCUGAGCAGAAGUGACGAAAACUAAGGAGGCAGAUGCAGGAUUUACAUAGUAUAAGCUGCCAGCUACUUAAUAAAGGAUGGAGGCUCCACCUAGCCUUCAGUUCAAAACAUGCAAAACACAUUAAGCCAGCGCUUCCCCGCCGGAUUUCCCAGCUUCUUCCAGACUGGGAUCACCGGGAAGUCAUCCUCUCUAUUCACAGCCCUGUCAGCUUGCCGAGAGCUGCGAGGGUAAAUACACACAGCGUAAGGUAAUCGCUUUUAUUGCAUCAUAUUGAUUACAUCAACCACUUCUUUAAAAACCCAUAUUAUUACUGUUGUUUCCCGGGGAGCACCGAGUUCAUCUGUGUUACAGCGAAGCGGUUUCACCCGUUUCCCAGCUCCGGGGUAGGCCGGAGUUGUGGAGGGUUGCUACUUUUUUGAGUGGAGGGAAGGAUGGAGGGAGGGAUGGAGGGAAGAAUGCAGCGGGCGCCCCUGGACGUGUCCCCCUCUCCAGCGACACCUAGGGCCGGGGUCGGGAGCCGUGCUGGGGUUUGGAUAACCCGGGAAGUCAUGGCUGCUAGCUCCAAUUGACCCCCUACGCGGGAGGCAGCGGAUGGACAGGCUGCAGCGAGCAAUCUGUGCAUCCCAGCCCGCUGCAAGACAUCCCUUCAUCUUCUUUCUCCCUCUUCCUUUUUUCCUUCUUUUUUCCUAUUUUUCCUCUUUCCCUCCUCCCCUUUUUAAUUUAUUUUAUUUUUUCCCCCUUUUUGCUUUUUCUUUCUUUUCCCUCUUUUUUUUUUUUUUUUGGUUUUUUUUUUUUUUUUUGUUUUUUUUGUUUUUAAGCUCUAAUAUGGAAGCCGCAGGACUUAGUUCCCACACUCCAGCCCUGCAAGCGUUUGCACCUCUGCCUGCAACACCUUUCUGAGCGCACCCAGCCACUGCCAAAAUAAAAAGGCUCCCUGAAAAGCCACAUCUCUGCUUUCGCCGGGCAAUUAUCACGGCUCCCGCACACCAACUACGCCCCACACGACCAACAGGUUUAGCAUCAGGGCCACAAAAGUGUCAAGUCCUAAACCCUGACUUGUUAAUCAAAUUCCUCUCGCCGGUGCACAGUGGAAGUCGUCGGAGCGUCCCGGGAAACCCGACCUGCCCGCGCUCAGCAUGCCUAGUUAUUUCAGGGAAUUCAGGAUCUAUCCCACACCCCACACACAGACAUCGCGGUACUUACAUUUAUUCGUCUUUAUCAGAGGAAAAAUUGACCUCACAUCAAUUGAGCUGAGGGCGAGCUGAGCCUUCGAUGGCAAACAAAGAUCCCCAGGCCAAGGCCCCCUCGGAGCAGAGAAAGCUCUUCCAUGUCUCCAUGAAACUCGCGUCUUUCCCCUCGCCAUCCCUAUUUAAAAGUGCCGCUUAGCUCCACGGUGUCAUUCUUGUCCGAACGGCGCUGAGUCGGAAAUCUUCCAUCCAGAAACAAACAAAACAAAACAGGGAGAGAAACGCAGAAGCUGACUUCGGUUUGGCUUUUUUUCUUCCUUUCUUUUUUCCCCUCUUUUCCUCCUUUUCUUUCCAUAUGGCUUCCUGCGCCCCGGAGUAGAAAGUGAAGUGUUCUAUGCGAGGAUCUGCAAGUUUUUUGGGGGGGUUGGCCAAGGUCUAGUCCAGCCCUCCCUGCUGAGGAGGACGUGCUCAGAAAUUCAACCAAUUUCCCCAACGCUUUUGUUGCUGAUGGACUGAAGCCCUAUUGUUCAUCCAUUGCCACGGUCUUUUUCAGCUCCUGCUAUACGUUGUGCGUUGCCAGAGAUAAUGAAUUUGCACCAAAACCUCUCAUAGUCCCAUUCUGACAGACGGAACAAAUUAGAAAUGUCUAGUCUAAAGAAGAGCAAUGGCUACCUUUUCCUAGAGAAGAAAAGAAGGAAAGCGCGCAUUUGUUUGGAAACUUACUAUUUUUCUUUCUUUUUUUUUUUUUUUCCCCAGCAAAAGAUCGAGAUUUAUAAGCUGUUUUUCCUCCAGCUAACUUCUGCAGUACAGUUUCUUCCGAGUCUUGUUUUGGAGAGGCACUACCAUUUUGUGAAACUUUGGUCUGACAGCCAACAGCAGGGAGGGAAAAUAGAAGGAAAGGAAAAAAAAGAAAAAAAAAAAAGGAAAAAUUGAUGGCGCUGACAAAAAAGAUUCUUUUCCAAUCCCUGCCGUCAUGCUAACUUGUAGCAUGACCUCUCGUCGCUGGAAGGAAGGUGCCGAUUCCUGCCGGGUUCGGAAACAUCGUGAAAACGCCCCUCAAAGCCUCGGUGGGUUUUAGGGAGCGGGGGGGGGGGAGGGGGGAGAAGGGGAACGAGGUAGGGAGGUGCUGGGAGAAGUUUGAGUGUGCGCCGGAGCAGGAGGUGUGCGGGGAGGGGGGCAUGGAGGGAUGGAGAGGUGGAGGAAGGGUGGAGGGAGGGAGAGAUGAAGAGGUGGAGAAAUGGAGAAAGGAUGGAGAGAUGGAUA
Molecule: long non-coding RNA, 3507 nt
Filed under: Strigops habroptila (Kakapo)
Lineage: Eukaryota; Metazoa; Chordata; Aves; Psittaciformes; Psittacidae
Description: lncRNA (ENSSHBG00005003582.1)
Source: RNAcentral